UGCGUAGGCGGAAUAUUAAGUCAGUGGUGAAAUCCUGCGGCUCAACCGUAGAACUGCCAUUGAUACUGAUAUUCUUGAAUGUAGUUGAGGUAGGCGGAAUGUGUAAUGUAGCGGUGAAAUGCUUAGAUAUUACACAGAACACCGAUUGCGAAGGCAGCUUACUAAACUAUGAUUGACGCUGAGACACGAAAGCGUGGGGAGCGAACAGGAUUAGAUACCCUGGUAGUCC
RNAcentral lists this ribosomal RNA (229 nucleotides) under uncultured bacterium. RNAcentral describes it as "partial 16S ribosomal RNA". It matches the Rfam family "Bacterial small subunit ribosomal RNA", at positions 568 to 796 of the family's 1533-position model. The record is from RNAcentral.